UAGUAUGGGGAUCUGCCCGAUAGAGGGGAAUAACUACUGGAAACGGUGGCUAAUACCGCAUAAUGUCUACGGACCAAAGCAGGGGCUCUUCGGACCUUGCACUAUCGGAUGAACCCAUAUGGGAUUAGCUAGUAGGUGGGGUAAAGGCUCACCUAGGCGACGAUCUCUAGCUGGUCUGAGAGGAUGAUCAGCCACACUGGGACUGAGACACGGCUCAG
RNAcentral lists this ribosomal RNA (218 nucleotides) under uncultured bacterium. Its description in RNAcentral is "partial 16S ribosomal RNA". It matches the Rfam family "Bacterial small subunit ribosomal RNA", at positions 113 to 334 of the family's 1533-position model. The record is from RNAcentral.